GGACCCGCACAAGUAGUGGAGCAUGUGGUUUAAUUCGAAGAUACGCGCAGAACCUUACCAACACUUGACAUGUUCGUCGCGACUUUAAGAGAUUAAAGUUUUCGGUUCGGCCGGACGAAACACAGGUGCUGCAUGGCUGUCGUCAGCUCGUGUCGUGAGAUGUUGGGUUAAGUCCCGCAACGAGCGCAACCCUCACUUUUAGUUGCCAUCAUUAAGUUGGGCACUCUGAAAGAACUGCCAGUGAUAAGCUGGAGGAAGGUGGGGAUGACGUCAAGUCCUCAUGGCCCCUUACGUGUUGGGCUACACACGUGCUACAAUGGUAUCUACAACAGGAAGCAAGACCGCAGGUC
Molecule: ribosomal RNA, 350 nt
Filed under: uncultured bacterium
Lineage: Bacteria
Description: bacterial SSU rRNA
Rfam family: Bacterial small subunit ribosomal RNA
Source: RNAcentral